GGGGGAUAUUGCACAAUGGAGGAAACUCUGAUGCAGCAACGCCGCGUGAGGGAAGAAGGUCUUCGGAUUGUAAACCUUUGUCCUUGGUGACGAUAAUGACGGUAGCCAAGGAGGAAGCUCCGGCUAACUACGUGCCAGCAGCCGCGGUAAUACGUAGGGAGCAAGCGUUGUCCGGAUUUACUGGGUGUAAAGGGUGCGUAGGCGGCUCUGCAAGUCAGGCGUGAAAACUAUGGGCUUAACCCAUAGACUGCGUUUGAAACUGUGGGGCUUGAGUGAAGUAGAGGUAGGCGGAAUUCCCGGUGUAGCGGUGAAAUGCGUAGAGAUCGGGAAGAACACCAGUGGCGAAGGCGGUCUGCUGGGCUCUAACUGACGCUGAGGCACGAAAGCAUGGGUAGCAAAC
This 400-nucleotide ribosomal RNA is filed under the name uncultured bacterium. RNAcentral's name for it is "bacterial SSU rRNA". It matches the Rfam family "Bacterial small subunit ribosomal RNA", at positions 356 to 773 of the family's 1533-position model. The record is from RNAcentral.